GGGCUGCAGUAUAUUGACUGUACAAAGGUAGCAUAAUCAUUAGUCAUUUAAUUGAUGACUUGUAUGAAAGAUUGGAUGAAAUAUAAACUGUCUCUUUAUUAUUUAUAGAAUUUAAUUUUUUAAUUAAAAAGUUAAAAUAAUUUAAAAAGACGAGAAGACCCUAUAGAGUUUUAUAUUUAAAUUAAUUAAGAUUAUUUAUAAAAUUUUUAAUUGAAAUUAUUUUUAAUUAUUUUGUUGGGGUGACAAAAAAAUAAAAAUAACUUUUUUUAAAUUUUAACAUAUAUAAUUGAUUUUAUGAUCCAUUUUUAAUGAUUAUAAGAAAAAAUUACCUUAGGGAUAACAGCGUAAUUUUUUUUUUUAGUUCGAAUAAAAAAAAGAGUUUGCGACCUCGAUGUUGGAUUAAGAUAAAAUUUAAAUG
Molecule: ribosomal RNA, 418 nt
Filed under: Spodoptera litura
Lineage: Eukaryota; Metazoa; Arthropoda; Insecta; Lepidoptera; Noctuidae
Description: partial 16S ribosomal RNA
Source: RNAcentral